RNAcentral lists this unclassified non-coding RNA (343 nucleotides) under Hevea brasiliensis (rubber tree). Lineage: Eukaryota; Viridiplantae; Streptophyta; Magnoliopsida; Malpighiales; Euphorbiaceae. The record is from RNAcentral.
GGAAGAGCUCUUUGCGGAGGAGGUAUUGUUUCCUUAAUGAAAUUCUAUGAUUGAUCUAGCAUUUUAUUGUAAAACCGAUUUUCUAAGUGCAAACCAUGUUACAAAAUUGCAAUAGGAAAUUCAAAUUGCCAAUGGACGCAAAUAACAAAAUUUUUCCUGAUAAUUUGCCUGUCAAUUCUUACAUAAAUGCUAAGUUCAACUCAGCCUUUUCAAAUGUUGUUAAAGUACAUGGAUCUACUUUAAUUCUUCUUUUGUUUAGGGUCAAAAUUUAAUCAAGAUCUAGUGAUGCUAAAUCCUUUUAUGACCUUUUAAAUCCAUCUCAUCCUUGAUUCAUGACUUUAUC